CGUUGUGGCUCUUGAAAUUGUUAGUGGAAGGCCAAAUUCAGACCCAAGCUUAGAGCAAGACAAAGUAUAUCUUCUCGAAUGGGCAUGGUACCUCCACGAAAACAACUGUGAACUUGAGAUGGUGGAUUCUGAAUUAUCAGAGUUCAGUAAGGAGGAAGUAAAAAGGGUGAUCGGUGUAGCUCUUCUGUGUACUCAAACAUCUCCAGCUCUUCGGCCAUCGAUG
This 223-nucleotide unclassified non-coding RNA is filed under the name Hevea brasiliensis (rubber tree). Lineage: Eukaryota; Viridiplantae; Streptophyta; Magnoliopsida; Malpighiales; Euphorbiaceae. The record is from RNAcentral.